This 2119-nucleotide long non-coding RNA is filed under the name Homo sapiens (human). RNAcentral describes it as "HSALNT0347860". Lineage: Eukaryota; Metazoa; Chordata; Mammalia; Primates; Hominidae. The record is from RNAcentral.
ACUACAAGUGUCGAGGGGCCUAGGGGAAGCCGGGGCUUGGGAGGGCAGGGCUUUCUCUGCUUGCGGACAUCGCGAAGGGCCUCUGGCAGGCGCCGCCGGGUGGCGGCGAGACGCCUCCGCGCCUCCGGGGUUCCUUGUUCGCUGUCGGAGGAGGACCGGCUGAGGGAUGGCCUGGUGGGGAGGGAGCCCUCGGGCAGGUGGCUGCGUCGGGCCUGGGGCAGUUGUGCUGCGCUUGGAGACCUGCCCGCCCUCGGGGCCUGUGUGCACAGGGAGGAUAGGCUGUUUAUCUCUGCAGGCUCAGGAAGGCAGGUAGCUGGCCCGUCAGUCAUCCGCCCUGCAAAGCGCUCCCGAGAGACCCCGUAGAGCGGGCCAGCGCGCGCCUGGCCUGAGGUUUCCCGCCCCCGGAGGCCCUCACAUCUCCCCGGUAACGCUUAGGAAUUCGGGCAGCCAGCUCGCCUACCCCUGGGGAAUCGAGGCAGAGCUUCUGGGAAUGGGGUCUGAGGGAAGAGUGCUCACCAGGCAGUGACAUGUAGCCGUUGAGGAUCGCCACUGCCUUCUCGUUCUGUGGUAUGAAUGGCAGUGUCUCUCUAGAGAGUUAGUGCUUAAGUUUGAAUGAUGGCAGGCACUUCAGGAUUCCAGCACGUAGUAGGGUUUAAGAACGUCUUAGUUCUUACCUCCAGUCUCGACUCACCGUUCCUACAAGGAACACUCACUUCUACGAAAGCUCUAUUAGACAUUCGAGGGAGAGCUUAUACUGUAGAACCAGUGUUAUUAGGAAAGUUUUUUUUUUUUUGCUUGUAUUUUUAUUUCAGAAACUACCCAUGGAGCAGAGUUGCUAAAAUAAAAUUUAUUAACUCUAAUGCUAUCCAAAUUGUGAAACAAUGGUACAAAUGAGAUAGAGUAGAAGCUACAAAUUGAUAGAGUAUGUAGUUCACUUAGGGGUUUGGGAGUGGAUUUUCUAGAGCUGCAACUGUCCAGUGUAGUAGUCACUGGCCACCUGAAAAGUGGCUAGUCUGAACUGAGGUCUGCUCUAAGUGUAGAACAUGCACCAGAUUUCUAAAGCGUGGUCUGAAAAGAAAAAGAAUGUAAAGUAUUUCAUUAAUUUUAUAUUGCUUACAUGUCAAAAUGAGAAUGUUUUGGAAAAUUUUAAAUUACGUGGCUUCCAUUAUAUUUCUAUGGAUACUGCUGUUCUAGAGAGUAAAAAAAUCUCACUGAAGAAGAGUAGGCCUUUCGUUUAGCAACUGUGAAGAAAACCAACCACGCUGCACCUCUCAGUUCUGUAGUCAGAAGUCCAACAUGGUUCUCAAUGGCCUAAAAUCAAGGUGUCCACAGGAUUGUGUUCCUUUCUAGAGAGCAAGCUGCAGUGUGGUAAACUGCCUUUGAAAGAGACCCACAUGUCAAGAAACUGAGCAUCACCUGUGACCAACAGCCAGAAAGUAACUGAAGCCCCAAGACGAACAGCUUGUGCAAAACUAAAUUCUGCCUACAACAAGAGCAUGAAUUGAGACGCAGAUCCUUCCCUAGUUGAUCCUUGAAAUGCUUGCAGCUCUAUGGACACCUUGAUUGCAGCCUUGUGAGAAAUUCUGAACUAGAGGACCUCGUAUGCCUUACCCAUAGGUCUUACAAGAUAAUACGUGUUUUUCAAAAAAGUAAGUUUGGGGAUAAUUUCUUAUGCAGCAAUAGAUAAUGAAUAAUAAAGUAAAUACAGUUUUUUGCUGUUGACUUCAAAAAUGUUUAAAGAUUUUACUGUUAUAUAAUUGUACAUAUUUAUGGGGUACAUGUGAUAUUUUGAUACAUGCAUACAAUGUGUAAUGAUCAAACUGGGGUAAUUUGAAUAUCCAUCACCUCAAAUGUUAUUUAGUGGUAUUGGGAACAUUCCAAAUCUUGUAGGUAUUUUGAAAUAUACAAAAAGUUAAUUUUAUAUAUAAAUAUAUGUCAUAUAUUAUUAAUAUAUUAAUAAUAUAUGCCAUAUAUAUAUAUGUAUGUAUAAAUGCCAUAUAUAUUAAUUACAUGUAUGGCAUGUUUUCUUUUAUACAUUUAUCCACUGAUAAACACUUAGGUUCCUUCCUUACCUUGGCUAUUGUGAAUAGUGCUGCAAUAAACAUGGGAGUGUAGAUAA